UUGGCCAGUAUCUUGUUUGUGUGGGAGCUUGCUGUUCAUGAAAAAUACGACUGACGUGGAAGGAGUUGUACUUGAAGGGGACCAGUCCUCUGGAUCUAGGAAGCAGCAGAAGGACGUCGUGUAAAGGAAGAUUGAGCAGAUGGAGAGAUACCAUUAUAAAGACCCUGAAAUGCUGAAGUUUGAUCUCCUUGUGGACACAAAGAGGGAAGAUUCGAAUGCUGUACCAUCCCUGUAUACCAUCUAAUGAGAAAUAAGAUGAUGGUCCACAGACACUUAAACAAACUACAGAAGGACAGGAUUCUGGCUUCAUUUAUGGCUGUCUAAUCCAAAGCGAUGACAUCCUUGGAAAGAGGGUGGAAAACUGAAGACUCAAACUACAAAGUUUCAGGUGAUAAACAUGGCCUGAAAGAAGUACUGGCAAAUUUGGUGGUCAUUUAACUGAAGAGAAUAAUGUUCCUGGUUGUAGUGGUACGGGGUAUUGUUCUGUACCACAAG
Long non-coding RNA from Schistocerca piceifrons (Central American locust), 495 nucleotides. RefSeq lists it as uncharacterized. Lineage: Eukaryota; Metazoa; Arthropoda; Insecta; Orthoptera; Acrididae. The record is from RefSeq and is a predicted model, not a curated record. The transcript has 3 exons.